Molecule: ribosomal RNA, 253 nt
Filed under: uncultured bacterium
Lineage: Bacteria
Description: partial 16S ribosomal RNA
Rfam family: Bacterial small subunit ribosomal RNA
Source: RNAcentral
UACGUAGGGUGCAAGCGUUAAUCGGAAUUACUGGGCGUAAAGCGUGCGCAGGCGGUGAUGUAAGACAGAUGUGAAAUCCCCGGGCUUAACCUGGGAACUGCAUUUGUGACUGGCAGGCUAGAGUAUGGCAGAGGGGGGUAGAAUUCCACGUGUAGCAGUGAAAUGCGUAGAGAUGUGGAGGAAUACCGAUGGCGAAGGCAGCCCCCUGGGCCAAUACUGACGCUCAUGCACGAAAGCGUGGGGAGCAAACAGG